RNAcentral lists this ribosomal RNA (805 nucleotides) under uncultured Granulicatella sp. RNAcentral describes it as "bacterial SSU rRNA". It matches the Rfam family "Bacterial small subunit ribosomal RNA", at positions 68 to 854 of the family's 1533-position model. The record is from RNAcentral. Lineage: Bacteria; Bacillati; Bacillota; Bacilli; Lactobacillales; Carnobacteriaceae.
AGAGCGACCGGUGCUUGCACUGGUCAAUCUAGUGGCGAACGGGUGAGUAACACGUGGGUAACCUGCCCAUCAGAGGGGGAUAACAUUCGGAAACGGAUGCUAAAACCGCAUAGGUCCUUUAACCGCAUGGUUGAAGGAGGAAAAGAGGCGCAAGCUUCUGCUGAUGGAUGGACCCGCGGUGCAUUAGCUAGUUGGUGAGGUAACGGCUCACCAAGGCCGUGAUGCAUAGCCGACCUGAGAGGGUGAUCGGCCACAUUGGGACUGAGACACGGCCCAAACUCCUACGGGAGGCAGCAGUAGGGAAUCUUCCGCAAUGGACGCAAGUCUGACGGAGCAACGCCGCGUGAGUGAAGAAGGUUUUCGGAUCGUAAAACUCUGUUGUUAGAGAAGAACAAGUGCUAGAGUAACUGUUAGCGCCUUGACGGUAUCUAACCAGAAAGCCACGGCUAACUACGUGCCAGCAGCCGCGGUAAUACGUAGGUGGCAAGCGUUGUCCGGAUUUAUUGGGCGUAAAGCGAGCGCAGGCGGUUCCUUAAGUCUGAUGUGAAAGCCCCCGGCUCAACCGGGGAGGGUCAUUGGAAACUGGGGAACUUGAGUGCAGAAGAGGAGAGUGGAAUUCCAUGUGUAGCGGUGAAAUGCGUAGAUAUAUGGAGGAACACCAGUGGCGAAGGCGACUCUCUGGUCUGUAACUGACGCUGAGGCUCGAAAGCGUGGGUAGCAAACAGGAUUAGAUACCCUGGUAGUCCACGCCGUAAACGAUGAGUGCUAAGUGUUGGAGGGUUUCCGCCCUUCAGUGCUGCAGUUA